RNAcentral lists this long non-coding RNA (757 nucleotides) under Bos taurus (domestic cattle). Its description in RNAcentral is "long non-coding RNA NONBTAT024010". Lineage: Eukaryota; Metazoa; Chordata; Mammalia; Artiodactyla; Bovidae. The record is from RNAcentral.
CAGAGAAUACACCAGUGUCUGAGCUUUAUUUCUCAUUACACGUUUAACUUUGUUUGUCAUAGGUUAAGGUCAUUCUGAUAAUUGUCCAAUUUGGGACUAAUGUAUGCGAGUCUUUUUGAGCUACUCUGAAUAAGACCUUGACUCUGGAGUACUUGGGUUGCCUGCGCUGAUACCCAGAAGGGGGUCUAAGUGACGGUGCAGCGUGGUGCAGCUUUCCUGUAGCAUCUUCCCUUGCCUGAGUGUCCUCUCCCACCGUCAGAUGCCCCUUUUGCAGACUGCCUGGUUUUUAUUGAACACCACAUUCAACACCUCAUCUUCCCAGGCUUCAGUGCCUUCAGCUGUCUUCUCUCUGUCACUGGGUUAUUGGUCAUCAACCUAUUUGCAGUACAGACUAGCUUUCCCUAAAAUGAUUUCUGGCAGUUUAUCCACCAACUGUUAAUACAUCUUUUGAGGAGAAAAGAAAUGGUACAUGGUCAGGUAACUUUGGGGAAAUCUCGGUGAACUGAGUCAAGUGGACUUCUCUUGGUAAGAACUUUCUGGGAGUCUGUUCCAAGCCAGCCAGGCUCUCAAGCAGUCCUCUGUGUUCUGUGGCAUCUUCGUCUGGCAUGCCGGCCCCGAGAGCUUAUGCCUGACAUUGAAUCCUAUGGAACCUACCUGUACUCUCUUGACUCUUAAGUCAUGUGAUACUUAAUUUACUGUUGUUCAGUUUUUUGUGUGUAUACUUUUAUUACCUAAUGAAUUUAUAAAGUUCUCAAGG